UUUUUGGAGUUAGGCCCCCUUCGCCGGCCCCCCUUCGUGGGAGGAACCUGCCGGAGCGUGGCUGAGGCUGCCAGUCAACAGGUUGAGGUUAGAGAAGGACACUGCCUGUGAAAAGGUCCUUGGUUGCCAAAUCCAGGGCUGUGUCCAGACAGCUACAGAGCAACAGGACCACUCUGUGGAGAGAGGGCUCUCUAAAAGUUAAGCACGGGACAGAGAGGAAAAAACAAGACACACAAAAGGAGAGAAGCUGAGCGAAGGCAAUGCCUCAGCGUGACGGCUGAGCCGAUCGGAAGCCCAGCUUGCCAAAGGAGAUCGUACUGCUGUAGCCAGCAAUUGAGGGCUCCGAGAUACCCGGUUUUAACUGCACGAGCCACACAAGGAGAGCUUUGUUCGCGGGGAGAUGCGGGGACAGCCCCUGGUUUUAUGAGGCUUUGGGAACCCUGUAAAAGUCUGCAUGGGUUUAUUAAGCUGGCAAAUUACUUGAACAAGAAGAAUACGGCUCGUGCCAACGCCAGGCCAUGUGUCAAAAGGGCACCGAGCCAGGCUGAUCCGGGGGAGACAGGACGAAGCCCUGCCACUUGGAGACGGGGACGCCCAUGACGAGUGGGCACACGUGCGCCGAGGGAGGCGAGGAGGCGCGGAUGGAAUGCAGGAGGCCCACCCCGCACAGGCUCUCAUGGGGCAAUUUAAUUCACUCCCUGCUGACUCUCUCACUUUGUUGUGCUCUGAAGCACGAAAUUACAAGAUUUACAGGAAAAAAUGACAUGGCCUUCCAAUCUCACACAGGGUCCUCCCCAUGACAGCCCUGUAGCUCGCCCAGAGAAGCAACCCCCUUCUCUCCUCCCUCC
This is a long non-coding RNA of Trachemys scripta elegans, 848 nucleotides long. RefSeq lists it as uncharacterized. The transcript has 3 exons. The record is from RefSeq and is a predicted model, not a curated record. Lineage: Eukaryota; Metazoa; Chordata; Testudines; Emydidae.